Molecule: ribosomal RNA, 428 nt
Filed under: uncultured prokaryote
Description: bacterial SSU rRNA
Rfam family: Bacterial small subunit ribosomal RNA
Source: RNAcentral
UGAGGAAUUUUGCGCAAUGGGCGCAAUCCUGACGCAGCAACGCCGCGUGGGUGAUGAAGGCCUUCGGGUCGUAAAGCCCUGUCAGGUGGGAAGAAUGUCCCGGGACUGAACAGGUUCCGGGAGUGACGGUACCACCAGAGGAAGCACCGGCUAACUCCGUGCCAGCAGCCGCGGUAAUACGGAGGGUGCGAGCGUUAUUCGGAAUUACUGGGCGUAAAGCGCGCGUAGGCGGUCCCGCAAGUCUGAUGUGAAAGCCCCGGGCUUAACCCGGGAAGUGCAUUGGAAACUGGGGGACUUGAGUACUGGAGAGGAGGGGGGAAUUCCCGGUGUAGAGGUGAAAUUCGUAGAGAUCGGGAGGAAUAUCAGUGGCGAUGGCGCCCAUCUGGACGGUAACUGACGCUGAGACGCGAAAGCGUGGGGAGCAAACA